RNAcentral lists this ribosomal RNA (536 nucleotides) under uncultured bacterium. RNAcentral's name for it is "bacterial LSU rRNA". It matches the Rfam family "Bacterial large subunit ribosomal RNA", at positions 488 to 1028 of the family's 2925-position model. The record is from RNAcentral.
UAGCGAACAAGUACCGUGAGGGAAAGGUGAAAAGCACCCGAUGAGGGGAGUGAACAGUACCUGAAACCGAAUGCUUACAAGCAGUGGGAGCUCCAUAGGGGGUGACCGCGUACCUCUUGCAUAAUGGGUCAGUGACUUAAUUUAUCGAGCAAGCUUAAGCCGUUAGGUGUAGGCGCAGCGAAAGCGAGUCUGAAAUGGGCGACCGAGUUCGAUGAAUUAGACCCGAAACCCGGCGAUCUAGGCAUGACCAGGUUGAAGGUGCGGUAACACGCACUGGAGGACCGAACCGUUUAAUGUUGAAAAAUUAUCGGAUGAGUUGUGUUUAGGGGUGAAAGGCCAAUCAAGCCGGGAAAUAGCUGGUUCUCCGCGAAAUCUAUUGAGGUAGAGCGUCGGAUGAUUGCCGAUGGGGGUAGAGCACUGGAUGGGCUAGGGCGGCGCGAGCUGUACCAAACCUAACCAAACUCCGAAUACCAUCGAGUCUAGUCCGGCAGACAGACGGCGGGUGCUAAGGUCCGUCGUCAAAAGGGAAACAGCCC